This is a long non-coding RNA of Carcharodon carcharias (great white shark), 860 nucleotides long. RefSeq lists it as uncharacterized. The record is from RefSeq and is a predicted model, not a curated record. The transcript is spliced from 2 exons. NCBI's taxonomy places the organism in Eukaryota, Metazoa, Chordata, Chondrichthyes, Lamniformes, Lamnidae.
GAAAUCUCAUUUGUUCUGUAAGUGCAUGUGUUUUUACUCUGUACGUUUCGGAAGCAGUUUAAAUGGCAGUAAAUUGAAUGAACUAAGUCAUGAAUGCUUUCUAGGAGUGAACAAGGAACUGAACAAGCACCUGCAACAACUGGUUAAAGAUAAGAGAAUGUAGAAGGGUGACUGGAAGACAUCGGUGAUGUUGUUCCAGAUACAGAAACCAACUCAGCUACAAAAAGUGAUGGAACAGUUGAAUAAAGAAAUUACGUGUGCUUGGAAGGAGGAGGCGGUGCUACAGAGUGAAGAUGUGCUACAGGGCUCCAUGGUAUAGAAGAGAAUAUUGGACAAAUAGAAUGUUGGACAAACUAAUAUGGCUACUAAGGCUUACUAAAUGCCAUAAAUGAAAGCUAAGAAAGAGGAUUUAAGAUUGGGGGCUGACAAAUAGAAGAGAAUGUUGGACAAGCUAUCCUUUACUACUCGUACCAAGGCAGAUAUGAUGAAGAAGAAUCAGAUUGCAUCAGGUGGGGAAGCCAGGCAUGUUGACUGCUGACAGAUUAGAAACCAUUUAAAAGAAUGGUUUAAAUCCCCCAAGAGUAUGGUACACACUAUUAGUUUAAAAGGAGGAGGAUCGGCUAACAUCAGUCUUUUCACAACAAAGGCUGUGACAGAGUUGCAGAACAAACUGUACGUUAGACACUUGAGGUGCAACAAAAGGAUUAAGGAAAUGAUGUUAACAGCUCCUGAGCUGCUUUCCACAGCAUUUCUAUUGGUUUGAAAGUCUCUUAAAAAUGUAUGUAUGUAACGACUGAUUUCAGUAUCAGCCCCACGUUCUUGAAAACGAACUUCAACAAAAAUAAAGAAUUCACAGCCUA